Molecule: ribosomal RNA, 253 nt
Filed under: uncultured bacterium
Lineage: Bacteria
Description: partial 16S ribosomal RNA
Rfam family: Bacterial small subunit ribosomal RNA
Source: RNAcentral
UACGUAGGGGGCAAGCGUUGUCCGGAAUCAUUGGGCGUAAAGCGCGUGUAGGCGGCUAGAUAAGUCUGCUCUGAAAGCCCGGGGCUCAACCCCGGGAGGCGGGUGGAUACUGUCUAGCUCGAGUCCGGAAGAGGAGUGUGGAAUUCCUGGUGUAGCGGUGAAAUGCGCAGAUAUCAGGAGGAACACCAGCGGUGUAGACGGCUUUCUGGACCAUUGCUGACGCUGAGACACGAAAGCGUGGGUAGCAAACAGG